This 431-nucleotide ribosomal RNA is filed under the name uncultured Alphaproteobacteria bacterium. RNAcentral describes it as "bacterial SSU rRNA". It matches the Rfam family "Bacterial small subunit ribosomal RNA", at positions 958 to 1385 of the family's 1533-position model. The record is from RNAcentral. Lineage: Bacteria; Pseudomonadati; Pseudomonadota; Alphaproteobacteria.
AACGCGAAGAACCUUACCAGCUCUUGACAUGGGACGUUUGGCCCCGAGAGAUCGGGGUCGUCAGUUCGGCUGGCGUCCACACAGGUGCUGCAUGGCUGUCGUCAGCUCGUGUCGUGAGAUGUUGGGUUAAGUCCCGCAACGAGCGCAACCCUCACCUUCAGUUGCCAUCAGGUUAUGCUGGGCACUCUGAAGGAACUGCCGGUGACAAGCCGGAGGAAGGCGGGGAUGACGUCAAGUCCUCAUGGCCUUUAUGGGCUGGGCUACACACGUGCUACAAUGGCGGUGACAGAGGGAAGCAAAGAGGCAACUCUAAGCCAAUCUCAAAAAGCCGUCUCAGUUCGGAUUGUUCUCUGCAACUCGAGAGCAUGAAGCUGGAAUCGCUAGUAAUCGCGGAUCAGCACGCCGCGGUGAAUACGUUCCCGGGCCUUGUA